CGUGCUAAUCUGCGAUAAGCGCCGGUAAGGUGAUAUGAACCGUUAUAACCGGCGAUACCCGAAUGGGGAAACCCAGUGUGACUCGUCACACUAUCAUUAACUGAAUCCAUAGGUUAAUGAGGCGAACCGGGGGAACUGAAACAUCUAAGUACCCCGAGGAAAAGAAAUCAACCGAGAUUCCCCCAGUAGCGGCGAGCGAACGGGGAGGAGCCCAGAGCCUGAAUCAGCAUGUGUGUUAGUGGAAGCGUCUGGAAAGGCGCGCGAUACAGGGUGACAGCCCCGUACACAAAAGCGCAUGUGCUGUGAGCUCGAUGAGUAGGGCGGGACACGUGGUAUCCUGUCUGAAUAUGGGGGGACCAUCCUCCAAGGCUAAAUACUCCUGACUGACCGAUAGUGAACCAGUACCGUGAGGGAAAGGCGAAAAGAACCCCGGCGAGGGGAGUGAAAAAGAACCUGAAACCGUGUACGUACAAGCAGUGGGAGCCCCACCACUAAGCCAGUGGUGAACUCCACAUACGCAUCCUUUGCUGAGGAUACGGUUAACGGAGCGAAAGCGACGUUCAACCGCAAAAGAAGCAGAGGGGGCUUAGUGGUGGGGUGACUGCGUACCUUUUGUAUAAUGGGUCAGCGACUUAUAUUCUGUAGCAAGGUUAACCGUAUAGGGGAGCCGGAGGGAAACCGAGUCUUAAUUGGGCGUUAAGUUGCAGGGUAUAGACCCGAAACCCGGUGAUCUAGCCAUGGGCAGGUUGAAGGUUGGGUAACACUAACUGGAGGACCGAACCGACUAAUGUUGAAAAAUUAGCGGAUGACCUGUGGCUGGGGGUGAAAGGCCAAUCAAACCGGGAGAUAGCUGGUUCUCCCCGAAAGCUAUUUAGGUAGCGCCUCGUGAAUUCAUCUCCGGGGGUAGAGCACUGUUUCGGCUAGGGGGCCAUCCCGGCUUACCAACCCGAUGCAAACUGCGAAUACCGGAGAAUGUUAUCACGGGAGACACACGGCGGGUGCUAACGUCCGUCGUGAAGAGGGAAACAACCCAGACCGCCAGCUAAGGUCCCAAAGUCAUGGUUAAGUGGGAAACGAUGUGGGAAGGCCCAGACAGCCAGGAUGUUGGCUUAGAAGCAGCCAUCAUUUAAAGAAAGCGUAAUAGCUCACUGGUCGAGUCGGCCUGCGCGGAAGAUGUAACGGGGCUAAACCAUGCACCGAAGCUGCGGCAGCGACGCUGAUGCGUUGUUGGGUAGGGGAGCG
Molecule: ribosomal RNA, 1242 nt
Filed under: Salmonella enterica subsp. enterica serovar Reading
Lineage: Bacteria; Pseudomonadati; Pseudomonadota; Gammaproteobacteria; Enterobacterales; Enterobacteriaceae
Description: partial 23S ribosomal RNA
Rfam family: Bacterial large subunit ribosomal RNA
Source: RNAcentral